This 468-nucleotide ribosomal RNA is filed under the name uncultured bacterium. RNAcentral describes it as "partial 16S ribosomal RNA". It matches the Rfam family "Bacterial small subunit ribosomal RNA", at positions 28 to 507 of the family's 1533-position model. The record is from RNAcentral.
GAUGAACGCUGGCGGCGCGCCUAACACAUGCAAGUCGAACGGUUAAAGCACCUUCUGGUGUGUAUAACGUGGCGAACAGGUGAGUAACACGUGGGCAUCCUGCCCCUUUCAUUUGGGUAUAACCGGGGAAACGUGGAUAUAAUACAAUACUUCGAGUCUUCCGGAUUGGAGACUCGUGGAAGCUCUCGGCGGUAGGGGAUGGACCCGCGGCUUUUCAGCUUGUUGGUGGGGUAGUGGCUUACCAAGGCAUUGACGGGUAGCCGGCCUGAGAGGGUGACCGGCCAGAUUGGGACUGAGAUACGGCCCAGACUCCUACGGGAGGCAGCAGUGGGGAAUAUUGCACAAUGGGCGGAAGCCUGAUGCAGCAACGCCGCGUGCGGGAUGAAGGCCUUCGGGUUGUAAACCGCUUUCGCCUGUGACGAAGCGUGAGUGACGGUAAUGGGUAAAGAAGCACCGGCUAACUACGUG